This 393-nucleotide ribosomal RNA is filed under the name uncultured bacterium. RNAcentral's name for it is "partial 16S ribosomal RNA". It matches the Rfam family "Bacterial small subunit ribosomal RNA", at positions 523 to 918 of the family's 1533-position model. The record is from RNAcentral.
AUACGGAAGGUCCGGGCGUUAUCCGGAUUUAUUGGGUUUAAAGGGAGCGCAGGCGGAGAUGCAAGCGUGACGUCAAAUUUCGGGGCUCAACCCCGUCUCGCGUCGCGAACUGCGUCCCUUGGUUGCGGGAAGGGGAGGCGGAACUCGUGGUGUAGCGGGGAAAUGCAUAGAUAUCACGAAGAACUCCGAUCGCGAAGGCAGCCUUCCGGCCCGUCAACGACGCUCAUGCUCGAAGGUGCGGGUAUCAAACAGGAUUAGAUACCCUGGUAGUCCGCACAGUAAACGAUGGACACCCGCGGUUUGGCCUAUAUGGCUGAGCCGCCAAGCGAAAGCGUUAAGUGUCCCACCUGUGGAGUACGCCGGCAACGGUGAAACUCAAAGGAAUUGACGGGG